GUCAAUUUGGCCGAGUGGUUAUGGCGUGUGACUCAAGUUCACCCAGGCGUGGGUUCGAAUCCCACAGUUGACA
Parastagonospora nodorum SN15 is the source of this 73-nucleotide non-coding RNA. The record is from the annotation of a RefSeq genome assembly. NCBI's taxonomy places the organism in Eukaryota, Fungi, Ascomycota, Dothideomycetes, Pleosporales, Phaeosphaeriaceae.